ACUGGUCUGAGAGGAUGAUCAGUCACACUGGAACUGAGACUACGGUCCAGACUCCUACGGGAGGUCAGUCAGUGGGGAAUAUUGCACAAUGGGCGAAAGCCUGUAUGUCAGCAACGCCGCGUGGAGGAUGUACACAUUUUCGGUGCGUAGAACUCCUAUUUCAUAUAGGAAGAUUAUCGACGGUACUAUAUGACAUAAGCACCGGCUAACUCCGUGCCAGCAGUCCGUCGGUAAUACGGAGGGUGCUAAGCGUCUACUCGGACAUCACUGGCGCGUACAAGAGCGUGUAGGCUGUUUUAUAAGUCACGAAGUGAAAUCCUAUAGCUUAACUAUAGUAACUGCUUUUGAAACUGUUUAACUAGAGUGUGGGAGAGGCAGAUGGAAUUUCUGGUGUAGGGGUAAAAUCCGUAGAUAUCAGAAGGAAUACCGAUUGCGAAGGCGAUCUGCUGGAACAUUACUGACGCUGAGACGCGAAAGCGUGGGGAGCAAACAGGAUUAGAUACCCUGGUAGUCCACGCCCUAAACUAUGUACACUAGUUGUUGUGGUGCUAGUCACUGCAGUAAUACAGUUAACACAUUAAGUGUACCGCCUGGGGAGUACGCUCGCAAGAUUAAACUCAAAGGGAUAGACGGGGACCCGCACAAGCGGUGGAGCAUGUGGUUUAAUUCGUAGAUACGCGAAGAACCUUACCUGGCCUUGACAUUGAUAGAAUCCUGUAGAGAUACGGGAGUGCCGGUCUUGCCGGAACUUGAAAACAGGUGCUGCACGGCUGUCGUCAGCUCGUGUCGUGAGAUGUUGGGUUAAGUCCCGCAACGAGCGCAACCCACGUCCUUAGUUGCCAGCAUUUCGGAUGGGAACUCUAAGGAGACUGCCUUCGCAAGGAGGAGGAAGGUGUGGACGACGUCAAGUCAUCAUGGCCCUUACGGCCAGGGCUACACACGUGCUACAAUGGGGUGUACAAAGAGUAGCAAUACCGCGAGGUGGAGCAAAUCUCAAAAACGCCUCCCAGUUCGGAUUGUAGUCUGCAACUCGACUACAUGAAGUCGGAAUCGCUAGUAAUCGUAGAUCAGCAAUGCUACGGUGAAUACGUUCCCGGGUCUUGUACUCACCGCCCGUCACACCAUGGGAGUUGAAUUCACCCGAAGCGGGGAUGCUAAAGUAGCUACCUUCCACGGUGAU
This 1180-nucleotide ribosomal RNA is filed under the name uncultured bacterium. RNAcentral describes it as "bacterial SSU rRNA". It matches the Rfam family "Bacterial small subunit ribosomal RNA", at positions 286 to 1466 of the family's 1533-position model. The record is from RNAcentral.